CGCUCUCGGCUGGGAUUCGAACCCAGGACUCUUGAAUACUAGACGAGCAUUUCACCACCUGAGCUAUCGAGC
Molecule: transfer RNA, 72 nt
Filed under: Aedes aegypti (yellow fever mosquito)
Lineage: Eukaryota; Metazoa; Arthropoda; Insecta; Diptera; Culicidae
Description: partial tRNA-OTHER
Source: RNAcentral